UGAACUUGGGCUGGCUCGAUGCCUUGAUCUUCAUCGGUUCGCCGGUACGCGGGUUGCGGCCGGUGGACGCCUUGCGCUUGGAAACCGAAAAGGUGCCGAAGCCAACCAAGCGUACUUCAUCGCCCUUUUUGAGGACACCGCUGAUCGCG
This 149-nucleotide small RNA is filed under the name Sphingomonas sp. KC8. Its description in RNAcentral is "Staphylococcus sRNA sau-50". The record is from RNAcentral. Lineage: Bacteria; Pseudomonadati; Pseudomonadota; Alphaproteobacteria; Sphingomonadales; Sphingomonadaceae.